Molecule: ribosomal RNA, 300 nt
Filed under: Triticum aestivum (bread wheat)
Lineage: Eukaryota; Viridiplantae; Streptophyta; Magnoliopsida; Poales; Poaceae
Description: partial small subunit ribosomal RNA
Source: RNAcentral
AUGGUUUGCAAUUUGGCAGAGGGAACCCCUCCAAGCAGAUCCCCUCCCUCCAUUCUUCUCCAUGGGCUACGUACUACUCAUCAGCUCCUGACGGCGUCCCCACCUGUGGAUGUCGUGGUUGCCAAAGAUGGUAGCGGGGAUCAUGACACCAUCAGUGCGGCUGUGGCGGCAGCACCGCCAGGGGGUUCAAGGUACAUCAUCCACAUCAAGGAAGGACUGUAUCAGGAGAAGGUUGAAGUGCUCCAACGGAGCAAUGUCAUGCUCAUCGGAGAUGGAGCUGCUCGAACAGAGAUUAUUUAA